RNAcentral lists this long non-coding RNA (2509 nucleotides) under Musa acuminata (dwarf banana). RNAcentral's name for it is "long non-coding RNA (MACU_LNC001849)". The record is from RNAcentral. Lineage: Eukaryota; Viridiplantae; Streptophyta; Magnoliopsida; Zingiberales; Musaceae.
GAAUGCACGCGAGAUGUUCGAGCUUUUGCCCGACCGCCGAUUCGUGGGUCUAAGCUGACACCGACCGCGGCAUCGUCCGCGCCUCCCCUUCCCCUCCCGCGGUCAGGUGCUGUUCUCCUCCAUGCCGCGGACCUUUCGGCAGUCUUUUCUUCUUCUUCUUCUUCUUUUCCUGAGCUUUAAGGAAGAAUCGAGGGUGGAAAAAGAAGGGGAGAAAUCCGAGUCUCAUUCCCCACCUCCUGCUGUCUCUCAAAAUUUUCAGAUGGGGGCGAUGACGCGAGAUGGACCACUGGUUAGUGUUUCUUGUUAAAAUAAUAUUAAAUAUCUGUAGCUUUCUUUUUUCUUGUCAUGUUCUUAUCAUUUUAUUUUAUAAUAAGCAAAUUCUUAAAAAAAAAUCCAAAGUUUUAUUUUUUUUAUUUUACAAAAAAAAAACCCUCAGUUUGAUUUAUUCCCGUAAAAUAUUUUUUAUUUAUUUUUAUAAUAAGCUCUGUCUUCCAUCGUCACGUCUCCCUCCUAUCGUCCUCGUCGACCUUGGCGAGGGAGAAGGAGAUGGUCUCGAUGGAAUUUCCCCUCCUCUCCUCUCCUCUAUAGCCCCCAUACUUAUUGGAUAUAAAUAUCUUUAGAAAUUAUCUAUAUAUUUAUUAUAUAUAUUUUUAAUUUAAGUAUUUAAUGAAAUAUUAAAGGUUUUUAUUUUAAAUGUUUUUUGAAACUCACUACUCACCACAAUUAAUUAAUUAAUGAUAUAACCUGAAUUUUUUUGAUGAAUACUAACAGGAGUGACAUAAAUGUUCGAAUAAAUAAAUGAAUAAUUAUGGUCUAAAUAUUUGGAGGGAUGCAUAUAAUAUGUUUGGUAUGUAAAAGCCUCAUUGUAUUUACUAUUAUUUGGACAACGUUAUGGCCAUGUUGAAGCCACGCAACAUGGACAAACAAUUCAAUCACUUUCAACAACAGUGUUCUGUAAGAAAAGGAUGUGAUUUCCUUUUCAUGCAGGAAGCAUGACUUUAGCCUUAGUUCUCACUUUAUAGCCAAAACAAUUUUGUUUGGGGAGUUUGAAGCAACAGAUGUUUCAAUCAUUAUUAUGAUUGCAACAGAUAUCUGUCAGUGCUGUAUAUGAUCAUAAAUUGUUCUUAGUUUUUGUGAUUGUUCAUCUGCAACCAAUGCUACAUGUACAUAUACAUAUACAAUACAUAUACGUUGUGAAUAUGUUUUGUAGUGUUGAUGUCAAUGUGGAAUCUAUGAAUUUAUGACCCAUGUGGAAUCCAUGUCAUCAUCACCUCAUGAAUUUGCAUGUGUAGUGAUAAGCUAAUCAUAAAGGAAAACUUGCAUGUUUAUAUGUUUGAUUUUUUUGUAUUUAUCCCUUUAAAAUUUAAAGUUGAUUGUUGUAGAAAUGGUUAUUUAUAUGAUAAAUAAGUUUUAAUAUGUAAUAGUGCCCUUUAAAAUUCACUAUGUUUCUAAAAUCAUAAUAUAUUUUAUUUUAUUUUAUAUAUUUUUAAACUUAAAUAAAUAAAUCCAUCUUAUGUGUAGAUAAGAUUAAUAAUAUGUAAAUUGAUAGAGUGUAAAAAUCUUUUUUCUAGAAGAAAAAUUGAAUGCCAUUUUAGCUUCCCUAAUUUGAUACAUAGACACUAAAAUUGUUUGCCAAGACAUUUUUUUUUAUUUUUCUUAAAAAAGUGGUAAACAAAUUACCACGUGGCCAUAUAUCUUCCUUAAAAAAUGGAUAACUUUUAGAGUAGGCAAUGUUUGCCUUUUAUGCAAUUGGUAGGCAAUGAAGGAUAGGACUUUGAUUCAAAGAUUGGAAAGCAAGUUUCUAAUCCUUAUCCAUAGAAAAUUCCCACUUCUCAUGUCAACAUCAAGCUAGGCCAUUAAUGUGCAUUAGGUAGCAUUGCUUCACACAGUGCUACUAUACUGACAACAAUAACAAAAUAAUGAAGAUGAUGAUGAUAAUAAUAAUAAUAAUAAUAAUAAUAAUAAUAAUAAUAAUAAUGAUCCAAUGUGUGAAAUGUUUUUAUUUCUGUUAUUAAGAAAAUAAAAUUAUAGAUCAUCUAAUUGCUUAGAUAUUCAAAUGAUGGUCUUUCUUUUCGCUUGGUUUAUCUACCAAUAAAACUGCCUGCAACACUAAUUAUCUCAUCUCGUGUAUUGUUAUUGUUGUUGUUAGAUGUUGCUCAUCGAUGUUGGAAUAUGAACAUAAAAUGAGAGGCGGUCAGCAAUCAAUGUUCGCUAAUUUCUCGAUUCUUUCUAAAAACAAACACAAGAGAGGGAAGCAUUUUGCUUGUGUGUGUCAAAGAUCGACACGUUCUUUCCUGCUUCAUAUCAUUAUGCAGAUAUGGAUCUUUCUAGUUGACGAGAGAAGAUGAAGGUCAUGAUUUCAGUCUUCAGACCGUGUUUGAUGAGAGUGAAAGGAUGGAAGUUUCAAGAAAGAGGGCGAGUGAGUGAAAACGUUUAGGGUUGGGAUAGGGCUCAAAGAGUGAACUUUUGAAUCUAUUAUUGUGAAAAUUAUUUGUUGUUCUGAUUUGAG